CGCGGGGUGGAGCAGCCUGGUAGCUCGGAAGGCUCAUAACCUUCAGGUCCUGAGUUCAAAUCUCAGCCCCGCAA
Molecule: transfer RNA, 74 nt
Filed under: Omnitrophica WOR_2 bacterium RIFCSPLOWO2_12_FULL_51_8
Lineage: Bacteria; Pseudomonadati; Candidatus Omnitrophota
Description: tRNA-Met
Rfam family: tRNA
About the family: Transfer RNA (tRNA) molecules are approximately 80 nucleotides in length.
Source: RNAcentral